Molecule: ribosomal RNA, 450 nt
Filed under: uncultured bacterium
Lineage: Bacteria
Description: partial 16S ribosomal RNA
Rfam family: Bacterial small subunit ribosomal RNA
Source: RNAcentral
CCUACGUGCGGCAGCAGUGGGGAAUAUUGGGCAAUGGGCGCAAGCCUGACCCAGCCACGCCGCGUGAGUGAUGAAGGCCUUCGGGUCGUAAAGCUCUGUGGGGAGGGACGAAAAACUUGCCGGCUAAUCACGGCGAGCCUGACGGUACCUCCUUAGCAAGCACCGGCUAACUCCGUGCCAGCAGCCGCGGUAAUACGGAGGGUGCAAACGUUGCUCGGAAUCAUUGGGCGCAAAGCGAUCGUAGGCGGGUGAAAGCCCUCGGCUCAACCGAGGAAGUGCAUUCGAAACUGCAUGGCUUGAGUAGCGGAGAGGAUAGCGGAAUUCCCGGUGUAGAGGUGAAAUUCGUAGAUAUCGGGAGGAACACCAGUGGCGAAGGCGGCUAUCUGGACGCAUACUGACGCUGAAGUUCGAAAGCGUGGGGAGCAAACAGGAUUAGAUACCCCGGUAGUC